GCGGCUCCUGCACAGUCACCUCUGUGCAGACGGCCCCGGGGUGGGGAGGCCUUCCCCCCUCCGCUCCACAUCGGGGUGGCAGUCCUGGAAGGGAGAGGGGGGACCCCCGCCUCCAGGUCCCGCCUCAGAGCCCGGCCCCUCCAUGCAGCCGUGAGGUCGCCUGUGGCUCCCCUCCCCCUCGGCUCCCCCCCCCUCCGGUCACCGUGUGUCGCUGAUUAUCUGACACUGGUGUCCAUUCUCUUGGUCUCUCUCCCUCUGAGUGACUUCGCUGCGUUUCCAUCUGCCUGUCUCUGUCUCCCUCUCUCGCUGUGCUCUUUGUGCCCACCCCAGCCCCUCUGGGGUUCCUGCCACCCCCUCUGGGGACGUAGGGCAAGGCCUCUGCAGAGAGAGCGCCCACACCCUCGGGCCUCUCCUCCAGCUUCUUUCUGUCCCUGUCCCUGCUCCUACCCCAGCGUCUCCUUCCUCCAACUCUCCCCGACAAGCACGGGCAUCCGAGGGCUCUGCUGGGCUUCCAAGCAAGUCACAGAAGGACACCCAGGAGGAGGCUUCAGAGGGAGAGGCGACCAUGGCUGCCUCUGACUCCUGGGGACCUUCACGCCAACCCCCAGCACUGGGGUGACUACUCCAGACCCGAAUUCUUCCCUCCUCGGAGCAAGGCCUCCCUGGGGAAGGAAAGCCAGGAGAGAAGACGCAGGACGUAAGGCAGGGCAGGAAAGGAGGCGAGGCGGGAAUACGGGGGACAACGAGAGGCAGAGGAAGAAGGAAAACGAUUUUGCAUCUGUGGAAAGAAACCUCCUUUCUGGCCAGAGCUCCCGGUACCAACAAUGCUGUUGAAGUGCAAAUAUCCAGGAGAGAGAAACACAUUGAGCCAAUAACUUCCACUAACCAACAGUAUCAAUGCCUUCCUGUAGUUAGUUUUAGCAGAGAACGUGUUCAGAGAGAUGCAACUACAGAUGGAAUGGCUGCAACAAUUUACAGUCAUCUUGUCCUCAAAUGGAAACAUCCAAAAGCCAAUUUCUAAAUCAAUCACUUAUGAGAAGAAUGGAUUUAUUGUGAACUGAGUCAUGAAUCCUUGCCUGGCACCGGGGAGGGGACCCUCCUUCAAAACAAUGGUCUUGAUAUUUGAGCAAAAUCAGGGUUUGGAGAGAAAGAAGAAGGAAAGAAUGGAUGGUGGAUAGUCUACUGGGAAGAACUAUCACAAAGACAGAUAUGAGAUUUAUAACUGACAACUCUACGUGCUAAAAGACAGCAGAAAAAAAAUGUAUUUACUGUUCUAGGAGAGAAAUAAUUCAAACCUGAAAUGCUAUACCCAGCCAAACUAUCAAUCAAAUGGGAAAGAGAAAUAAAGUCAGUUUCAGCUAGGAAGGAAUCAGAAAGUUUAUCUUCCAUAAAACUUUCAAUGAGUAAAAAAGUAUAUGAAAAUGUAUUCAAUCAAAGCAAAAUAAGAAUUUAAAGAAAGAAUAUCUGUGAUCCAGGAAAAGUGAAAUUAAUUCAGGAAUGCAAUGAAAAUAGCUGGAAACUAUGCAGCAAGUCUAGAAAACCAUAGGUCAAAAUUAAAGUGAGAAAUAUCAAAGAAUUCUACCCUGUAGGUCUUCAAAAUGCAAAUGAGUUUCAUUUCCCUUUUCUAUGAUUAGGAAGGAAACUAGAAAUUUUUGAUCAGAUGAAAACAUACAUUUCUCCUGUCAACCACAACAAAAAUAAAACAGCUAGAAAUUCCAGGGAAAAUAAGUAGCUGCACACCAUCAGCAAAAAUAUGGAGCAGAAUUGAAAGUGGCAUGACAUUGAGCAAUUGAUUGCAAUUGUAAAAAGAAUCCACUUGGCUGUGAGAUUUACAAAGGUUUCCUUCCAGUGGCCCAGUGUACACUUCCUUUUGUAUGGAUCUAUUCAUACAUUUUUGAGGAGUUCAUCAGUAUAUGAUCAUUGUAAUUUUGCAAAUGCUGUGGUUUUUUGUUUGUUUGUUUUGUUUACAGCUUUAUCAUAAAUCUUGGCCAAUAAAUUGGCAAAGUGAGGGAGAUUUUUUUUUUCAAGUUCAAAAGGGGACAAUAUUUACUAUUUAGAAACACAUACCUAAGAUUUUUUUUAAAGUUUGUAAAAUCAAUAGUGAUGUUGUUCAUUGCUGAUAUUGAUAAUGCAUGACUUCCUUUUGCUAUUACAUUCAACGGUUUUUGAUAUAUUGUGAUUUUAUCAUCUCUUGUUUUUCAUGAGAUUUUUGGCACUUGUAACUAUGCACAUAUAAAGUAGACUAAAAAGUUAACUAGAAGGAAAACUCUGAGAAAAAAGGUCAAAGGAAGGAGAAGGAGAAUAGGAAGGAAAAAGAAAAGAAGAAACAUACACAAAGUGGAACAUUACAUGUAUUGAGCAGAAGGCAGGGAAUCCAAUAGAGAAAUGAAAAUUAUCUCUUGCAGGUUGUCUGUGAAUGGAACCAAGUGUGUCACUGCCCUUCCCUGUGUAAAGUGAGGGAGAUUUUAAGAAAUAUUUUAAUUGAUUAUACAUAUUCGUAGGGCACAGAGCUGACUAUCAGCCCCAGUGUCCAAGAUGUGAUGAUCAGAUCGGAGGGAGAUUAAUUAUAAUCACAGAACAAAACGGCAAGGUUACUUGUCUUGAAGAAGUAAAAGUAAUGUUACAGCUGAUAGAAGUUGAGGAGGUUGGAGAGAAAAAGUGGGAAAAAAUGAAGGUGUUCCAAUUUCUCGUUUAUUUAGGGAAGGGAGUUAAUAAAUAGUCUGAAUUUUAUGAAUUUAGAAAUAAAGGUUUUACAAUGACCAAACUAAUAGCAAUGAGCACUCAAAUGUCCAAACUAAUAGCAAUGAGCACUCAAAUGUCCAAAUUAUGUUCUCUAAAUACCAUUUCUCUACUAAAAGUAACUAGAACUCCUUGGAGAAAUGGUUAAUCCAGGUGUGGGGCAGCAAAUGUGCCACCUGAGCUGGGAACAUCUACUCAUAUCAGAAAACGAGGAAGGUACAAAACACUCCUGGAGUCAGGUCAAGAGGACUCAAGAGUGAACUUGAAGAAGCUUUCAUUGGCCAAAGAUAGGACAAUUUGAGCAUCAAUAAGAACAAAAAUGCAAUGGUUUGAAACACAUCAAACAUAAGUUCAUCACGAUACCCAAAGAAAAAGAAACUCAGUGGUAGCUGUCAGAGAAUGCUAGAAAAUCAACUCAUCAUUAUAAAAACCGGCAAUUAAACAAGCUUUAAAGUAAUUAAGAGUCAAGCAAUUAUUUCUGCUUUUCCUCUGCCUUAGGAUAACCAAAUAGUCAAAGGAGAAAUUUCUUUUUAUAGAAGCACUCCAACUGUUCAAGGGUCUAGGCAAUUGUCACCAAGAGCAGCUAGAAUCAUUCACAGAGACAACCAGACAUGAUGUACCUCCUGGUGGGAGUUAACAGAACUAUGUAUAAAGUAUUCUUGCCAGAAAAUUAAAUCUGGAUCUAAGCAGGACUCUAGAUCUAAUUGCCAAUUUACUGGAAAUACAAUGAAUAGAAGAACAUGCUGAACAAUAUCACUGGGGUGCAAUCAUCAAUAUCCAGAGAGUAGAAACUCUAUAAGUCAAACAACCCAGUUUCCUCAACAAAUUACAUUGCAAUGGGAAGGAAGGGCGAGGAACCUAUGGAUUUAAAGAGACUAAAGAGACGUGUCAAGUCAUUCUGGUAUAGAUAUUUAGAUCCUAACUUGAACAAACUGGAAAAAAAUGAUAGUAUAAUUUCAACAGACUGGCUAUAUUGAGGAAUUAUUGUAAUUUUUUAGGUGUGGUAAUAGCAUUGAGGUUAUGGUUUGUUUUUUAAAGAUUCCUUAUUUGUAAGAAAUAUAUACCAAAAUAUACAGAUAAAAUGAUACAAUGCCUAAGAUUUGUUUCAAGAUAAUUGAUGGAUGGGAGUAAGUGGAUAUAUUCAUGAAACGAGAUUGACUCUGGGUUCAUAAUAGAAGCUGGGUUCUGAGUAUACACAGGCUUACUGUACUCUUUCUCUCUGCUUUUAUACAUGCUUGAAGUUUUCCAUAUUAAAAAGUUUCAGAAAAUAAAGGUUUAAGUGUUGUUUAAAGCUAAAUGUUAACCAGUAGAAAACCCAAAAUUGUAAUGUAUCAAAAAUCAGGAGAUGGAGGCAGAGGGUUGAUGGCGGUUAGUGCAAGUGCACUCAGUUUCUUAUUAUAUUGAGAAGAGGGCCCCAGACACUACCUGCAGUGGGAAGUCAGGGCAUAGAGAUAUGCACAGAUGAUUCAGAAUUAUGGAGACAACCACUAGAAACACCCUAAAGUAAUUAUUAAGAGGAGGAGGAGAGGGGAAGGAAGGCUUUCCCUUCUCAUUUUAUAUUAUUUUGUAUUGUGUGAUGCUUUUAACUUAUGCAUAUAUUAGUUUCCUAUUGUGGUAAAAUAUACAUAAUGUAAAUUAUACCAUUUUAGCUAUUUUUAAAUGUACAAUUCAGGGGCAUUAAGUAUAUUCACAAUGUUGUGCAGCACCUCCACUACCCAUUUUCAGAACAUUUUUAUCAUCCUAAAUAGAAACUCUGUACCCCUUAAACAAUAACUCUCCAUUCCUGUCUCCU
This is a long non-coding RNA of Cynocephalus volans (Philippine flying lemur), 4531 nucleotides long. RefSeq lists it as uncharacterized. The transcript is spliced from 3 exons. The record is from RefSeq and is a predicted model, not a curated record. Lineage: Eukaryota; Metazoa; Chordata; Mammalia; Dermoptera; Cynocephalidae.